This 650-nucleotide ribosomal RNA is filed under the name uncultured Pseudomonadota bacterium. Its description in RNAcentral is "bacterial SSU rRNA". It matches the Rfam family "Bacterial small subunit ribosomal RNA", at positions 69 to 715 of the family's 1533-position model. The record is from RNAcentral. Lineage: Bacteria; Pseudomonadati; Pseudomonadota.
UAGAGAGAAGCUUGCUUCUCUUGAGAGCGGCGGACGGGUGAGUAAUGCCUAGGAAUCUGCCUGGUAGUGGGGGAUAACGUUCGGAAACGGACGCUAAUACCGCAUACGUCCUACGGGAGAAAGCAGGGGACCUUCGGGCCUUGCGCUAUCAGAUGAGCCUAGGUCGGAUUAGCUAGUUGGUGGGGUAAUGGCUCACCAAGGCGACGAUCCGUAACUGGUCUGAGAGGAUGAUCAGUCACACUGGAACUGAGACACGGUCCAGACUCCUACGGGAGGCAGCAGUGGGGAAUAUUGGACAAUGGGCGAAAGCCUGAUCCAGCCAUGCCGCGUGUGUGAAGAAGGUCUUCGGAUUGUAAAGCACUUUAAGUUGGGAGGAAGGGCAGUUACCUAAUACGUAAUUGUUUUGACGUUACCGACAGAAUAAGCACCGGCUAACUCUGUGCCAGCAGCCGCGGUAAUACAGAGGGUGCAAGCGUUAAUCGGAAUUACUGGGCGUAAAGCGCGCGUAGGUGGUUUGUUAAGUUGGAUGUGAAAUCCCCGGGCUCAACCUGGGAACUGCAUUCAAAACUGACUGACUAGAGUAUGGUAGAGGGUGGUGGAAUUUCCUGUGUAGCGGUGAAAUGCGUAGAUAUAGGAAGGAACACCAGUGG